GAUGAACGCUGGCGGCGUGCCUAAUACAUGCCAGUCGAGCGAACAGACGAGGAGCUUGCUCCUCUGACGUUAGCGGCGGACGGGUGAGUAACACGUGGAUAACCUACCUAUAAGACUGGGAUAACUUCGGGAAACCGGAGCUAAUACCGGAUAAUAUAUUGAACCGCAUGGUUCAAUAGUGAAAGACGGUUUUGCUGUCACUUAUAGAUGGAUCCGCGCCGCAUUAGCUAGUUGGUAAGGUAACGGCUUACCAAGGCAACGAUGCGUAGCCGACCUGAGAGGGUGAUCGGCCACACUGGAACUGAGACACGGUCCAGACUCCUACGGGAGGCAGCCGUAGGGAAUCUUCCGCAAUGGGCGAAAGCCUGACGGAGCAACGCCGCGUGAGUGAUGAAGGUCUUCGGAUCGUAAAACUCUGUUAUGAGGGAAGAACGAAUGUGUAAGUAACUAUGCACGUCUUGACGGUACCUAAUCAGAAAGCCACGGCUAACUACGUG
This 497-nucleotide ribosomal RNA is filed under the name uncultured bacterium. RNAcentral describes it as "partial 16S ribosomal RNA". It matches the Rfam family "Bacterial small subunit ribosomal RNA", at positions 28 to 507 of the family's 1533-position model. The record is from RNAcentral.